Molecule: unclassified non-coding RNA, 224 nt
Filed under: plant metagenome
Description: partial contains small subunit ribosomal RNA and internal transcribed spacer 1
Rfam family: Eukaryotic small subunit ribosomal RNA (bases 1-46)
Source: RNAcentral
AAGUCGUAACAAGGUUUCCGUAGGUGAACCUGCGGAAGGAUCAUUAGUGAAUUUUUAGGGUGCUCUCUUUUCAUCAAAGAGAGGCCUGACCUCCACUCUCCAACACUGUGCACUUAUGGCGAGCUUCUUAGAGUAAUAAGUCUAACGACUUUGAUCUUUUUGGGGGCUUGCGGCUUUACCUUUAAACACCAAGUCAAAGAAUGUACAAACCAUACAAAAGGAAA